AAAGCGCGUGUCUGCGUCGGGUUCUGUUGGAGUGCGUUCGGUGCGCCGUGGGUCCGCGCUGCUUCCACCCAACUUCCUGUUAGUUUCUCUCCUGUCACAAUGGCAUGAUCUCGGCUCACUGCGACCUCUGCUUCCUGGGUUCAAGGAUUCUCCUGCCUCAGCCUCCCAAGUAGCUGGGAUUACAGUUUCCAUCAUUAUCUUCUAUGGAGUUCUUCAUUCCCACAUCUGUGGACCUUAAAAUCCUACCGUUGAGUGCCUGCCUUGGAUCAGCAGUCAGUUCGUUACCUUGGUUCUCAGACGAUGCUUGCAACAACGCCAUGCGAUUCGCCCACUCUUGGGUUACAUUAGUUAUACACUCUGGAGGUGACUUGACCUGUCAUUGUGAACAAUUAUUGCUCUUGGACGACCCAGGACAUAGGCCAGCCAGUACGUACCCCAGUGUGUUGGAGAAUCGCGCUCGGCUUCUUCCUCUGUGCUGAGUCAUGAAAGUUGCCGGAGCAGGUGCAGUUACACAACCUCCAGGAUGUCUGUUUUCUCCCCAGACAUCUAGGCUUGCUGUCAAGGCUUCUGAUCAACAUGAGAUGACCGCCGUGUGGUAAACUGAUGAACCCUGACCCUGAUCAACAUGAGAUGACCGCCGUGUGGUAAACUGAUGAACCCCGACCCUGAUGAACGUGAGAUGACCGCCGUGUGGUAAACUGAUGAACCCCGACCCUGAUGAACGUGAGAUGACCGCCGUGUGGUAAACUGAUGAACCCCGACCCUGAUGAACGUGAGAUGACCGCCGUGUGGUAAACUGAUGAACCCCGACCCUGAUGAACGUGAGAUGACCGCCGUGUGGUAAACUGAUGAACCCCGACCCUGAUCAACGUGAGAUGACCGCCGUGUGGUAAACUGAUGAACCCCGACCCUGAUGAACAUGAGAUGACCGCCGUGUGGUAAACUGAUGAACCCCGACCCUGAUCAACAUGAGAUGACCGCCGUGUGGUAAACUGAUGAACCCCGACCCUGAUCAACAUGAGAUGACUGCCGUGUGGUAAACUGAUGAACCCUGACCCAUUAGGCUUUGGCUACAGAAUGUGGAAAUAAGUUGUGUUACUACAUGUGUGUAAUCCUAGGGUGCAGGACACCGGCCGGGAGGUUCCAUAGAGUGAUGGGUUCUGCAGGUAACUCAUCCUCUAGUCCUCUGUAAGCUCCUAGAAGGAAGAAAUUAUGUCCUUUAGACUAAUAAAAUUCCUCCAAACCAAAUACAGCACCUACUGUGAAGACACAAAGAUACUUUUAGAAUAGUAAAAACUUUAUCCAUUGAGAAAUUCCUUAAUGAAACAGUAUCCAAGAAGUCAUUUGCCAGCAGAUUUCUUAGAGGUGCGAUAAAGAAGAGGACAUUGCCAGUCGUCACAGCAGCUGCAAUAGCUCCUCUCUAUUGUUAAACAGUGGGAUAUCUUGUGCAGGUUUUCAGUUGACAAUCAAUUUUAAAGAUUAGUUUCGGUCCCCAUCAAUCAAUUAUUUAUUAACCCAUCAAUAAAAAUUUAAAUGCUCUGUGAGGUACAAUAGCUAUUAAAA
Long non-coding RNA from Homo sapiens (human), 1563 nucleotides. Ensembl annotates it as long intergenic non-protein coding RNA 1128. The record is from Ensembl. Lineage: Eukaryota; Metazoa; Chordata; Mammalia; Primates; Hominidae.